AGUUAUGCUAUUGCAUGGGUAAAUGACUGUACAUUUCUCCCCACAAACGUGCUCAAAGGCUUGCUGCAGGUAAUACGCUUCAAUUAACCAAAUGAGAUAAUUAAUCAAAUCUUAAGGCUAACAAAUCGAAAUGGAUUAAAGUAACAAACCACAAAUAAAAGGUGAUAGAGAAUUAAAGAUUAUUGGGAUGGAAGAUGGGCGUCGCUUCCUAGAGACACGGCCAGCUCCCAUGUGGGCAUAAUGCCUGCCUGAGCCCUUAAGGGAUCCAAUGAGGAUAGGAUUCAAUAUCGAGUCGCCACAUGAGCAAAGUUUCAUCAUUAUUCAAAAUGCAUUUUUUUGUUUCAAAUCCAGGCUUAGAAGAAGCCAAGAAUCACGUAGCAAAUGCUGUUAGCCUAGUGAUUUUAACAGAACAAAUUUAUUUAGACCCAAAAGAGAAGCCCAAACCAAUAUGAUGCCAUGGCGAGGUAGGGAUCCAAGAUUGAAUCCCCUACAGAAAUAAAAUCAACCCAAUAACAUGUUCAUAAGCUCAAAUUUACGGAAAAACAAACUCAGAUUGCAACCAAAUCCUGAAAUAACGAAACUAUCUACUGAAUUAACACAUAUAGGAGUUAUGAACAAAAUGAUGAACGAGUUAAGCCCUUUCCAAACCUCAAGUCUUGAUGCAUACAGAAAAUCAUAGUAUCUUUAAUGAACGAAGUAAUACCACCAUAUAAGACUAAUUACAAGAUUAAAUAUCAUCCCAACACCAUUAUUUUACUAUCAGUUCUUUAACAUUAAACCAACCAAGGGGUUGCUUCAAAUACAACUGCUUAUGCUAUUCAAAACCAAAAAAUCUAACCCAAUUAGGCAUGAAUGUAUCUUAAACACAUGAUGCUAGCAGUCUUUAAACCAGUACAGGUGUAAAAUCUAGACAGAUGUACAAUAAUCAUGUGAUAAAUGACACAUACAUCAUGAAGAAAUGUAAAUAGAAAUGAGAGAAUCCAUAAUUAUGUUUUCAACUUUAAAUUUCAUCUUCAUAUUGAGAUUUACACCCAAUGGAACUUAGGAAAGUACCUGAAUAUAGGAAGAACAAAGAGGAAGGGUAAGGAUUCAGUAGCAACAGCAAAAACCUAACACCAAGUCACGACCAAAUUUGAAUUCAGAAAAUGAUAUGAGACAACCCAAAAAUCAGCUUCAGACUUAGAGCACUCCAGCAAACAUAAACCAGACUUGAAUGACUCCAACUCAAACCAUUUUAAUCCCAAAUGAUUCAGAAAUAGCUCCAGGAAAAAGAGAUGUCAAAACAGAGAUGCGAAACCAAUGAAACAGUAAAAUCAAUAUAGCUUUUUAUAUAUUUUUUGGUUUUAAGAUCUUCCAAUAUCUCUCAGAUUUCAGAAUGUUCAAAAAGCUCUGUAUUUUUCUGAAUUUUUCAGCUCUCUCCCUCUCCGAUUUUUAGAGUGUGCAAUGCUUUCUUUUCUGGAUUUCAGCUCUUUUCUCCUUGCCUUGAAAGGAAAGUUUAGUGUGCCUUUAUAAGCAAGUAAAGUAUGGCAGAUUUUUAACUUAUUUUACCCCCUUAGGUCCCCUUUUAUUUCUUCUCUUAGCUCAGAUACCCCUCCCUUACUUACCAGAAGUUCAAAAUAGUCUCCAGACCCCCUUUCCUAGAAACUUCCCAAGGUUAUUAUACCUAGAUUCCCUAAACCAAUUCUCCACGCUACCCUUCAUACCCCUGUUUAAUUACCCUUCCAGUCCAGAAUGGAUAUGGGUCAAAUAAACCAAACAAAUAGAGGUCGAGAGUUGUUAUUGGGACGGGCCGAAGUAAAUUGAGGGCCCAAAUAAUUAAACCUGAAUUAUGAACAGUCCGAGACCCAAAAACAAUUUGACCCAAACCCCAUUAAUAAACAAUGGCCCCCAAAAGAAACUAAUCAAUUUUAAGACUCGCAAACUGAAGUGGUUCUAACCAUUUAAUAAGAUUAAUCAAAAUUAAAUCAAAGCUAAUAUUUAUACGAAUUAAAACAGAAACACAAAGGACAAAAUGAAAAGAAGUAAACGGCAAAGAGAUGGAGGAGUAAUCAACAGAAAAUGAACCUAAAUAAUUUGAGUUGACGAAGGAGGAUGACGAAGAACACACAUAUAUAAUACCUUCAAAGCCGUCUAAACAAUACUUGAUGAACUUCGAUGGCUUCGACUUGAUUUGAAACAAAUAUUAACCGAAUCUUCUCAAAGAAAACAUAUAUUCAAUACUCGUUUCGAGCCAUGUCUCUCAAAGGAACUGAAGGCUUGACAGAUGCUCUUUUUGUUUACUUUCAGAUUCAAGACCGGACUAAUCUGGUGAAGGCUUGGAAAACAUGGCGGCAUAUUGGGAUUGAGAGAUGAGUGGUGGUUGUAGGGACGAGAUUUGGGUGGUAUUUGAACUUUUUAACUUGGUGAAAAUGGCGGAAAUCUCAAGGCAUACUAGGGUUGAGAACUGAGAAGAUGAGGGAGAGGAGAAGCAAUCAUCUCUGAAGUGGAACGUUUGGAAAUUAUAUGUAAAUUGGGAGAAGUAUUUGAAGCCGUUGGAUGAGACACAAAGGAGGACACAGAUUGACUUUAGC
Molecule: long non-coding RNA, 2570 nt
Filed under: Nicotiana benthamiana
Lineage: Eukaryota; Viridiplantae; Streptophyta; Magnoliopsida; Solanales; Solanaceae
Description: long non-coding RNA (NBEN_LNC032930)
Source: RNAcentral